UCUCCCCCAAAUUCUUUCCCUCCCCCCUCUCCUACCAAGCAGCGCCGGUCACCACCAAGCAGUGUAGCCGCCGCCGCCUCCGCCGCCAUCCAGUGCCUCCGCCCACCACCAUGCAGUGCCGCCGCCCACCAUCCGGCCGAUGUCUCUCCACCUUACGCGGUUUGGUCACCUCCGCCCACCGAACGACGCCCACCCACCACUACACCACCGUCUCUGCUUAGUGAUGGAUUCAUUUGGUGAUAAGUGGGAUGAGGAAUGCUCUACCAUUGGAGACAAAGGAGAAAUCAGUUUUAUUGAUUAUGGGAAUGACAAAUCUGUAUAUAGUUACAACACAAUUGAAGAGGGUCCUAUUGUUAUUUCUGCCCCAUUUGCUUUCGUGGGGGGAAAGCCUCAAUCAGUAACCGUAGGAGAAACUGCUGCAGUUCUUGAUGCAAUUCUGUGAUGCAGUUCUUGAAAACAGGGUCUCCCCAAGCACUUUUGUGAUGCACAUUUGCCUAAGCAUGAUACCAAAAUUGUUUUGGAAGAUGAAGGUGGGGAAGAAUUUGAAACAAAAUAUCUUUGGGACCAAGUGCUGGAUGGAGAGGGUUUUCUAUAGCUCACGAGUUACUGGUGGGAGAUAUCGUGAUUUUCCAUUUAGUCAAGCCUUCCAAGUUUAAGGUAUACAUUGUGAGAUCUAGUAGUUCAGAUGAAGUGGAUGGUGCUCUUGCCUUCUUAAAAUUGGAUACUUGCAUGAAACAAAUGAAUUGGCAAUACGAAAACCAAUGCUUGUGAAGAGUCGGUAAAUGACGGUUUGGAGCCUCUUUCUCAAGAAAAUACUAUGGAUAGAAGCUAGACUUGAACGAGAUCAUGCAGAAGAGGAGAAGCAAACUCUGGAGGCAAAGCUUUUGGAAAUAGAAGAGAGAAUGAAUAGCCUUGAUGCCGAGAUUGAGAAUCUGGAUCCUACUGCUGAGAGGCUUGAGCUUAUGUUUGAAGAACUGGCUAAUGCCCCAUGGUAAUGAGGAACUAUUGUCAUUGGUUCACAGCUUUUGUGUAAAGCAUAGGAACUAUUCCAGGACCAGGAAUAUGUCGAUGCUUGGUAGUGAAAGAGCGGUUUUGUUUUACUGGUAUAUAGCUUUUUUGGUGAAGUUUCUCUCACAUAAAUUGAUAGUUUCACAAACACUUUUUAUCAGCACUAUAACUAUCUUUUUGUAAGUUAUGGUGAUUAAUGAUAGGGAUGGAAGACUGGAAAAACUCAUACAACUGUUAGCAAUAGCCAGAGGAGUUAUUAUUGUAUCUAUUGGCUCUCUCUUUUGUAAGCCUUUCGACGAUUACCUGGUAUAAAAGCUGUAAUUAUUAGACAA
Molecule: long non-coding RNA, 1340 nt
Organism: Alnus glutinosa
Lineage: Eukaryota; Viridiplantae; Streptophyta; Magnoliopsida; Fagales; Betulaceae
Exons: 4
Source: RefSeq, a predicted model, not a curated record